Molecule: transfer RNA, 74 nt
Filed under: Microgenomates group bacterium ADurb.Bin219
Lineage: Bacteria
Description: tRNA-Trp
Rfam family: tRNA
About the family: Transfer RNA (tRNA) molecules are approximately 80 nucleotides in length. Their secondary structure includes four short double-helical elements and three loops (D, anti-codon, and T loops). Further hydrogen bonds mediate the characteristic L-shaped molecular structure. tRNAs have two regions of fundamental functional importance: the anti-codon, which is responsible for specific mRNA codon recognition, and the 3' end, to which the tRNAs corresponding amino acid is attached (by aminoacyl-tRNA synthetases). tRNAs cope with the degeneracy of the genetic code in two manners: having more than one tRNA (with a specific anti-codon) for a particular amino acid; and 'wobble' base-pairing, i.e. permitting non-standard base-pairing at the 3rd anti-codon position.
Source: RNAcentral
AGGGAUGUAGCUCAGUUGGUAGAGCAACGGUCUCCAAAACCGUCGGUCGGGGGUUCGAUUCCCUCCAUCCCUGC